RNAcentral lists this ribosomal RNA (422 nucleotides) under uncultured bacterium. Its description in RNAcentral is "partial 16S ribosomal RNA". It matches the Rfam family "Bacterial small subunit ribosomal RNA", at positions 356 to 794 of the family's 1533-position model. The record is from RNAcentral.
GGGGAAUAUUGGACAAUGGGGGCAACCCUGAUCCAGCAAUGCCGCGUGUGUGAAGAAGGUCUUCGGAUUGUAAAGCACUUUCGACGGGGACGAUGAUGACGGUACCCGUAGAAGAAGCCCCGGCUAACUUCGUGCCAGCAGCCGCGGUAAUACGAAGGGGGCUAGCGUUGCUCGGAAUGACUGGGCGUAAAGGGCGUGUAGGCGGUUUACACAGUCAGAUGUGAAAUCCCCGGGCUUAACCUGGGAGCUGCAUUUGAUACGUGUAGACUAGAGUGUGAGAGAGGGUUUGUGGAAUUCCCAGUGUAGAGGUGAAAUUCGUAGAUAUUGGGAAGAACACCGGUGGCGAAGGCGGCAACCUGGCUCAUGACUGACGCUGAGGCGCGAAAGCGUGGGGAGCAAACAGGAUUAGAUACCCUGGUAGU